RNAcentral lists this unclassified non-coding RNA (200 nucleotides) under soil metagenome. Its description in RNAcentral is "partial contains internal transcribed spacer 2 and large subunit ribosomal RNA". The record is from RNAcentral.
UGUUCGAGCGUCAUUACAACCCUCAAGCUCUGCUUGGCCUUGGGCGUCACCGGCAACGGUGGGCCUCAAACUCAGUGGCGGUGCAUCUGGCUCUAAGCGUAGUAAUUCUUCUCGCUAUGGGUGCCCGGUGGAUGCUUGCCAGCAACCCCCAACUUCUUAAGGUUGACCUCGGAUCAGGUAGGGAUACCCGCUGAACUUAA